This 256-nucleotide long non-coding RNA is filed under the name Numida meleagris (helmeted guineafowl). Its description in RNAcentral is "lncRNA (ENSNMEG00000018396.1)". Lineage: Eukaryota; Metazoa; Chordata; Aves; Galliformes; Numididae. The record is from RNAcentral.
UGUACAUGGCUGCCUUCUUUCAUGAUUCUGUCAAUCUCUGCAGGACUUAAAGCAUGGAAUAGAUAGCCUCCCUCAACAUCGCCACUGAAGUGGAGUCAGGUGGAGGGAAUGGAGCAGAUGUAGAGGUAUUGCUGGACCAGGAAACACAGAGCAGGAAGGUAGCACAAAGGAGGUCAAAGUGCAUCUGCGAGAUACAGUGUCAGCAUUUGUGCCCGGGUAAUUCCUUUGUUUUCAGUUUAUCUACUUCAUGCUGAUG